This 3381-nucleotide long non-coding RNA is filed under the name Sus scrofa (pig). RNAcentral's name for it is "lncRNA (ENSSSCG00045026812.1)". The record is from RNAcentral. Lineage: Eukaryota; Metazoa; Chordata; Mammalia; Artiodactyla; Suidae.
GGAGGAGCUGCUACUCAAGAAAGAGGAAGAGGCGGGCUUUUCCGACCCCCACGCCCCUGGGAUGGUAAAGCUGCAGCCCACCUCGUCCUGGGGCAGAGUCUCCUUGCCUGCCUGCUUGCAUCGCUCACCAGCGUCCUAUCCUAACACCUCUGUUUCGUGCCUAUCACUUUGUCUCUCGCUGAAUUCCUUCUGCGUGGAGACAUAGAGAACCUCAACCUCAGUGAGUCCAGACGCAGGAGGAGAGCGUUUCCCAGACUCCUUGCCCCUGAGUGAGGAUACGUGCCUGGUUCUGGCCAAGGGGCUGUGGCUGAUACAGCAGGUGUCACUCUGAGUCAAAGCAAAGGAUGUGCAGACAUGAAGUCUCCACGCUCUCUCUUCUUCACCCCUUGUCUCAAGGUGUCAGAGGCACCAGCUUAUGAGGGAUGUAUGAUUGUCAGCACCUCCACUUUACGGAAGAGGACACCUGGGUAUGAUGAUAAGCUGCCCAAGGUCCCAUAUCUGGUGCUUCAUAAUCCUGGCAAAGCCACUAAGCUGAGCAGAGCUGCAGAAAUUCCCUGGCUUUCCUACUGGAAGAUGUCGAUCAAUGAGGGCGCUCGCGGCCUUUGAUGUCAGGCAUCCACGCCCGCUUCUGUAAAGACUUUCGGCUCCACAAGAGAACGGGAAGUCACUGUGAAGAAAGAGGCAGGCGAUGUAACCGGAAAAGCGCGGGUUUGAUGUCAAACAGACCUGCGUGGUUCCACCGCUUUCCGACUGUGUGACACCUCCCUCCCCCACCCCCGGCCCAGUUGCUCUCUGAACCCAAGUCUUGGAAAAUGGAACCAAUAAUACCUGUUCUUCAAGACUGUUCCUGCUGGAAGCUCCAAGAUUCAUCUGAAGGCGUGAUCACAUCCUCAAUGUUGAGUGGACUAUGAACCGGCUGCCAGAGACAGGGUUCCAAGCCGGGCCAGGCCCAUCCCAAUGCCCACCCGAAAAGACGGGACAGAGGAAAGAAAGAAACAAAAUCCUGGGGCUCCAUUGGCUUUCUUUUUGACUCCAGCUGAAGUUGCUGCAUAGUGUGGCCUUGCCAGUCCUCGCCUUGAAAAGGCUGGAAGCGACUGCCGUGAUGGAUCAUCUAAUCCCACAGCCUCAUUCUGCAGAGGACCCCGAGCCUCGACUUGGCCAAGGUCACACAGCUGGGCCACACCCAUGGCGUAUGGUUUUCACAUGGAAUCGGAGCUGCAGUUGCCGGCCUAUGCCACAGCCACAGCAAGGUAGGAUCUGAGCCAAGUCUUUGACCUACACCACAUCUCACGGCAAUUCCAGAUCCCUGGACCCACUGAGUGAGGCCAGGGAUUGAACACGCACCCUUAUGGAUACUAGUUGGAUCACAACGGAACUCCCUGAAAAAUCAAGGUCUUUAAAGCAAUUCAUCAACCCCACCAACAUCUUGGCAUAAGAAAAUUGAUUCUGUAAGUCAAAAGAACUUAUAACAUGGUAUAUUGGGAGGAUGGCAGGGCUUGGUAAGUGGUAGCAACGCAGCUGGUAGAUUUUUCUUUGUUGUGUCCUUGUCCUUACGCUCUUUUAGCCACAUUUUCAUUCAGGAUUCUUGGGUUGGAAGCAACAGAAAUGGACUCUUUUGGCCUUAAGCAAAAAGAAAAUUUGUUGAAAGGGCAUGGAGGAGUUCAUAGGAUUGACUAGAAGUUUGGAGAAGUAGGCUCAGGAGUCAAGGCAUUUAUAGAGGAGGGUAGGGUAGAGAGGUGAUAAAAAUAAUGCAACGGUCUUAUUUGGAAAUUGUACUGGAAUGUAAGAGUUUCAUCUUUCCUCCUCCCUCCCUCUCUCUCUCUUUCUGCCACUUCAUUCGAGAUUCCAAUUUCAGCGAAGGAGCAUCCAAUUGGCCUGUCUUGGUCAGAUUCCCACCACCCCCAUGGUUAGGGGAACACAGCAUAUUCGAAAUGGCAUUCCCAUGAGGUACAUUCCAUGGAAAAGUAAUACCACAAAGAAAAUAUGGACACAGUUAUCAAAGGAAGAUAAAACAGGUGCUGGGUAGCCAACAAUAGCCUAUUUCCACUAUAUCCUUUAAAAAAAAUCCCAGUAACUCUUCUAUGAUUACUGAUUUUUCAGGAGAGAAAUUUAACAAUGGAAGAGUGUAUACAUAGUGAUGAAAAGAAUGGGAGGAUUUAUAAGAUACAAGUCAUUUUCUUUGAGUUGUGGGACAAUGGUUGGGUCCAUUUUUCUUCUGUUGUUUUUUCCUAUAGAGCACAUUUAUAACCUUUUAAAAGUAAACUAUAUUUUCUACUUUAAGAUGAGUGAAAUGAGGGGGGAGUGUCCCUUUUGACUGGGGACAUAGUCACUAGUUACUCUAUGUUAAUAACAGAAGCAUACAUUCCUCUCGAGGGGCAACAGUGUUCUUAUACAUUAAACUCUCAACAGAAACCAAAAGAACCACCACCAAAAAAAUCCCACCCAGUUUGGAAAGGACUUGUGCUUGUGGGUCGGGGGCAGAAGGAAGCAAUUUCCCUCCAUUUUCUGCCUGAGCAGGCCUUUUGCACUUUGAUAUUCGUUUCACUAAUAAGGUGUUUCAUUAUUUCUCCCACAAAAAGAGCUGGUGCUGUUAUGAGAUGCUGUUGAAGACUCUGGUUUGCCCAGAUGUGCCGCAGUGAAAACAGCCUUUCUCUGACGUGCAUGACUUGUGAGGAUGAUGGGACCUGUGGGAAGAGGGGAUCCUUUUUCAGAGUUUGGAAAGAGAGACAAAAUAACGCCAUCUGCCCUGCAUGGCUGACAGAAACACAUUCUUCCCUAAUCAGUGGGUCACUCACUUCCGCACUAUGUUGCAGGGAAGCAUCAUCUGAUUCCAAGCCUAAGGCUGGGUCAUCCGCGGCACUGACUUCUCCCGACCCUUCUCCGAGCUUCCCGUGCCAGUUUUCAUCAUCAAAUUUCUCUGCUCCCUUGGACCAGCGGAAAAGAAGUUAUGAGCUCUCUCCAUCAUUCGCCGGUCUCUUCGGCCCUUCCUCCUUUGAAGUUUUCUUAUUCGGGGUCUUUUUUCGCUUCUUCUCCAUGUUUCAUCCUCUCUCACUGUAACCUUUUUAUCUCUGGAGAGUUCUCUCUGUGCCUCUGGGCCCUUCUCUUUCUAGUUGGUUCUCAGAACCCAUUCUGGGAUUCUAUUUCAGUCCAUCCGUCUCUCCAACAGACCACGGGUGAAACCAGGGCCGGUAAUCAGUCCCAGCUGCUGGAGGCGUCCGCUCUGGGUCGGCCCCACGUUUGUGGGCUGAUGUUUUGCUUCCCAUAAUGCUCUGGGAGUACUGCUGCUCAGAGCUUGGCUUGUGCUUUUUCUUCUCCUGCCAAGGGGCCCUGCUUCCAAAACCCAGAUUAGAAAACAUGGGACGUUAAAAAAAAAAAAAAAAA